RNAcentral lists this long non-coding RNA (224 nucleotides) under Elaeis guineensis (African oil palm). Its description in RNAcentral is "long non-coding RNA (EGUI_LNC049694)". Lineage: Eukaryota; Viridiplantae; Streptophyta; Magnoliopsida; Arecales; Arecaceae. The record is from RNAcentral.
GCCAAGGUUUUGCUAAAUUGAAACACGACUGUACAUAGCUCCUGAACUGGAGUGGUCAAUCUCAUUUUGACACACGCACCGAUAAGUCAAGUACUUGACUACACCCAGCAGCCUUCCGUCACUGAAUUAGAAAUUCAGGUAGUCCAGUGCCUAAGUGCAAUGAGUUGCUUGCAAGUCACCAUGGCGGUCUCAGGUCAGAGAGACAGUUAUACCCAUAUCCCAUC